GUCAUGUUCCAAUGCAUUAUGUGAGUAUUCAAUCAAAGAAGUAAGGCUGUUCUCCAGAAUUGGUUCUUCGCUACAGGUCAAAAC
Molecule: long non-coding RNA, 84 nt
Organism: Nomascus leucogenys (northern white-cheeked gibbon)
Lineage: Eukaryota; Metazoa; Chordata; Mammalia; Primates; Hylobatidae
Rfam family: Deleted in lymphocytic leukemia 2 conserved region 5
Source: Rfam